Xyrichtys novacula (pearly razorfish) is the source of this 11712-nucleotide non-coding RNA. Lineage: Eukaryota; Metazoa; Chordata; Actinopteri; Labriformes; Labridae. The record is from the annotation of a GenBank genome assembly.
AUAAGUUUCACCCAGAACUGAUAUUUAAAGAUACCUUGGAGUCCAUUUUUUCUCUUAGACUUUCAUUUCUCAGUUUGUAUCUUCAAAUUACUCAUCAAACAAACCAACACACAGUAUUUCUUUCAAUUUUUCCAAGGCCUUGUCUAAUUGUAAAUGUGCCUUACAUCUAAAGAGGCCCUCACUGUAAAAAUCUGAAGUGGGUUUAGGCAUAAAUGGGAUUAAUUCCCAAAGAAUGUCCUUUGCUCUUCCUCCCAUAAUUUCAUUUGCAGGGUCCACAGGAUGAAUAGCCAAGCAGGCAGUGAUGUGGAACUGGAGGACAGGCCUUGCGGGGCCUGUGCUGCUACACCGCAGCCUUCAGGUUAUGUUACCUUGAUAAUGUCACAGCUGCAGGAACCACACCGCCCACCGUACAGGACACAGGAAAUCCAAUUAUCUGCCUUUUAAUGUGUGGGAAUUUUACGCUCUCAUUUCUUAGACUCUGGCUCCAAUUCUGCCUAGAGGCAAACCCACCUGAGAAAGAUUUCUGGGAUUGUUGUUGUUGUUUUUAGUUUUUUUACCUGAGGAAGAAUGUCCACUCAUUUUGGGCUAAAAACAGUAUUAUGAAUAAAUCAGACUCAAAAUAGUUUGUCGAUGAAGAUAGUUUAUUAAGGGGUACAGAUCUUACUUUAUUUCACUUUCACUAAAUCCUCAAAGUGCCUGUAGUUUUAAAUUCAAGUCCAUGUUCUCAAUAACUUUGCACAAAGUACAGCUCAACACAGAAAGACAAAACAAGAACAGCCCUGAUUCACCCUGGAAUUACUAAGGUCUAUGUGAGGGCUGUAUAUGGGAGCAGGACCCCCACCUGCCCGGACCCCUGACUGUUUUUUUGAUUUAAUUAAAAGGGAGAGGGUGCAUCAAUUUCAGCCGCGUGGCAGGGAGAUGACAGUACACAAAUUGAAAGUAAGUAUCUCAGUGGAGCAGGGAGGGGGGCUGUUCUGUCAUUAACAUGGAAGACAAUUCUGUGUGCAAUGUAACAAGAUUAGAAACAUUAUUAUCAUUCUACCUCUAGACAUAGAGCCAUACCAUGUAGAAGAGACUAAACAAUGUCAAUAAACCUCUGUACUCAAGACGGAGUGAGCGUGGCUGUUAUAUUGAGCUGAAUUGAAUACCUGCAUAGGCAAGUGUUUUUAUACUGUCUCUGAAAGCGUGUGGCUCAUUCCUUGGGGACAUCUCAUAUUUUCAGGUAUUUUACUUCACACAGCAGUGAUUAUGUAUCUCAGAUGUGAUUAACCCCCCUCCCCCAACAUCUAUAUUACACAUGCAGUAUUUUAGCAUCAGGGUUCCCUUUCGGCCCGAUCCGAAGGAAUGUGAAUGGGCUGCAAGCUUGAAGAGGAGCCCCAUUAAUGAACAGUAAAGACAGAUGAGUCUCUCUCUUGCCAAGCAGGUUGCCUCAAUUGGAUUAGUGAGGCUGAGAUUGGGAUGGAUAGCUGUCUAUGUGCCAAGUGGCCAUUAGCCCUGACCAAUAUGCCAAUAUGAUGGUACACAAAAACAGGCUCAGGAUUCCCCUCAGUGAUCUCAACACUCAGACCGGAGUCAGCAGCUGAUUCCUAAAGCAUUAAAACUGUACGCACAUACUGAUAGGCUAUAAACAUUUAUCCACUGUGAUAAUAUGAAGGUUAAGUGGUUGAUUUAAUAGCCGGCGUCUUUAAUUUCGAGUGGCACCUGGGCCAGUUUCCCGCGUUGCUUUCAUUGGAAGGGAAAUACAAAUAUCACAAUGUAGAACAAGCUAUCUGUCAAUGGCUGUCACGCUGUACUUUAUGAAUGGAAAGCUGCCCGUUCCUGGCAUGUAUUAGAGCGAGGUGCCGUGUUUCCGAGGCUGAUGUCAUGUUCUCGGCAAGGCGGUGAUGGGCACUGUAGAUGUCAGUGGACACCAGGGGCCCCUUCUCCAACCAACUAUACAAAUGGGCAUGAGUGUGAAGAGCUGGGGAAAUGUUAUCAAUCACCCGGCAUCCCAGUGGAGGAGCUGCUGGCGUUAGUGUAGAGAGUCCCCCUCAUACUGAUCCGUAUAAAAGGCUGUGUGAUGUAUUAGAGCAGAUGAGCAGGGGCCGGCUGUGACACUUGACUGACAGCUCAUUUGACAGCCUUAGGAAAGUGUGCAGGGAAGUUUCAAUCUAAUCUAAUGCUGCUAGAGGAAUGAAAUUGUGGUGUGAGAUUAUGUUUUCAUGUUACAUCCCCUUUAGGACAACACGGGCCGCAUGGGAUGGAUAUGAUGUGGAUGACCCCCUUGGUUGAAAAGGUAAAGACAGAGCCAGACGUAGCGGUGGAGUCCCAGCCAAGACCUCCUGACCCGUGACUCUUCUCUCAAUCCACUUCAGUCCAGGGAAUCAGGUUUGUGAAGAAAAAACAAGAAACUGAAACCCGGCUCGCAGCUCUAUCUGUGGGUAAACAAAAACAUUUUUGUGUCAUGCAUUAUCAAUCAGCUGUCUGCUGGGGCUUUCCAAACAGGUAAUCUGUGUCAUUCAAUCGCUCUACCGCAGGAGCCGGGUCCUCCUGAAAGAGGAUAGCAACAAAACAGACAUUAAUAUUAAGUGCAGGAGAGAUCAGAUUCUCUUUGGUCUGCUCCCUCUUCUUCAUAAUAUCUGGUGAGGCCACCUGCAUUUUGAAAUCAAUAUUUCUCUUUCUCCAGUAUAGGUUUACACUCGUGCAUUAAAAGCUAGACUACAGUUUCUUAUGAUAAACUGCAUGUUUUUGAUGGUAAACUUCAGACCUUUGUUGACUUGGAAAAAUAUUUCCUUGUGCAACACUCAAAGGUCAGAGAAAAUUUCUAAAUUACACCAGAAAAUACUUUUUUGACCAGAAAACUGUUAAAGCCCAAGAGACUCAAACCUCCCAUAGUGCACUCCCACAAUAAUCAAUCAUGGAGGGCUAAUUAGCCAUUUUACAGCUAUAAAAAAGACAGUCAGCUCUUUUCAUAAAGCGUGACCUACCCCCCCCUUAAGUUAGGGACUUUUUUUAAAAUAUAUUUUUCCUGACUUCUGAAAGUUAUCAGGAACUUGUGCUGCACUGAGGAACAAAGCAUUGUGUUUCCAUAUCAGAUGAUUUCUUCCCCUUUUGUCCAGAGUGUUUUUUUAUUUGUAGAAUGAGGUCAGUGGUUGGACGGUAAGCAUUGAAUGUCAGCUGCUGUUUUUCCAUUGAAGCCGACCAUACUCAGGUGAUCAGCCCUUAGACAGGUCUGCUUCUGGCCUCUGAGCAGCCCAGUGACCACAAAACCUGAUCUCACACGAUCAAGCAGCUAGUGUCUACCAGGUCUGAACCCUGUGCACCAUGUCACACCAUCAUCUCCUGCUUCUGCUUUCUCGGACAUGUCUUUUCCUCUUCCUGUCUUUUGUGUCCACACCUCUCUGUGCAGUGGUGUCCAUGUUCCCCCGCCAAUCCCGCUGAGGCUCUAAGACUGUUCGUAUUGUCUAAGUGAUCAUUAAAAUUUAUGGCAAGCUGACUUCAUCCAGCUUGCGAGGCCGUGCUGGCAUAAGUCAUAAUUAUGUGAUGACACUGUAAGACAGAGCGUCCACGCUGGGCCCCCUUCUUCCAGGCAAGUUAAAUGAUAUAAUUAGCCCAGUAAGAGGUGAGCGCUCCGGAUUGGAUAAGUUAUUAAAUGUUUGGAUGAACCUGAGCUCCAUUUCCCUAACUAUCACUGUCUUCCUCCCGCUCUGGCCCCCUUCCCUCCUCCCUCCAUGAGCCCAUUAGCAGUUAUGUGAUACUAUAUGCUGAUGGGGCAGUGGACAGAGAAAGUGGGUAAAUUAAGCCUGACCACUGCUUGUGUUAUGGACUGCUCUUAUAAGGUGCCACUGAAGGACACGGCAAGAUUCAAAAGAACAGCACAUCACUGAGGGACACGCGUGCACAGCAGACCUGAUGAUACAGUAAUGUGAGCUCAGCUGAGUUUGUCAACUUGAAAAAUGUCCCCCUGACCUUUGUUGUGUGAGUCCCAUUUGUUAAGAACUCAUAUAUGUGGUCAGUCUCAGAGUUUUCACUUCAUAGAAAUUAUGAGAGUGAUUUUACUGUACAACAAACGCAGGUCAGACAAGCAAAUGUGUCAAAUUUAACCCUUCAGAUUGCUCAAUUUGUCUGCAGUUAAGCUGUAAUGGAAGGCAGUACACCAAGGUUGACAGGACGCCUACUCCUGGGCCCUUGAGCCUCAGUGUGUGUGUGUGUGUGUAUGCCUCUGUCUGUGAGUGUGUGCGUGUGUUGCACUCCACCAGAGGGUCUCACCAAGCAUGACUGCGUGUUAUUCACACUGACGAGUUCCACUGUUCACUGUCACCUCUCAUUGUGAGGGGAAGUAAGCCUGUGGAGAGGGCUGCAGCCAGAGGAGGGGAGGAUUGAAAAGUCCCUUUUUUUUUUUUUUUUUACAAUGAAGCAAGGACUAGUUUCUGUUCCUGUUGUAAAACGUCGGCCCAGAUCCACUAAAGAGUGAACAGAGAGGAAGAUCUCCAGAUACAGCAUGCUAAGCUGGUCUGGUUAUAUUUUCAGACACAUUCUUCCAGACAGUGGCAGAGGCCUGGCUUUGUGUGUGGCCGUGUAGCGGGGAGGGGUGGGUGUUAUGGUGUUUGAUUUGUUGUGAAGACUCGAUCAGCAGGACUCAGCAGAGUCCAGGUUGGCCCAGCAGGCCAGCCGAGAGUGACACUUCCUCUCUCUGUUUCGUCCUGCAGAGAGCCCUGACAGCAGGGACCGGGUGCUGAGCUGCGUCCCCCUGUUCAUCAUCACCACAACCAACCACCCACAGUGGGCAGGCAGAGAGAGAGGGGGGCUGGGGGGCUCGGUUAUCAGUGUCACCCCUCUCAGCUACCCCCACCACAGCUCUGUCUUUGGCCCUUCUCCAGAGAGACCAAAAAGCCCGUCUUUCUUGGCUCCUUGAUUGUUUUUGUUCCUGAGAGCAGACAAAUAGAGUUUGGACUCUUACAAAAGAAAAUGCCGGAGCUCAUCUGAUCUUACUGCCCUAAGGAGCAGCCCGGCCUGAAGGGCCAGUGAUUGGAAAAUUACAGAGCUGCUCCAGCUGUAUUGUCAGAGAGACUCUCAAACUCUUUUUUGUUCUGUUGCAGGCCAUCAGCUGAAUAACCAAUCAAGCUCUUUUUUAAAUCAUCUGUUAAUACUUUGAAGUGAUUGGCUGUUAUUAGAUCUGGAUUGUUUGUGUAGUUAUCCUAAUCUAGAUUAAGUCUUUGACUGCGAGAAUAAAUGCAGAUAAAAUGAAUGUUGGUAGAUGGUAUUUCUAUAUGGCAGGUAAAUGUUUUAAAUCUGAAGAGCCUCUUUAACAAAUUUAAUCACAGUCUUGGAGAACAAUCUUCUGCUUCUAGGCACAACGGCCAUUUUUGAGCAUUACCCACUAUUUAGCCACAAACAGCAGCUGCGACCUCUUUUUCAUCGCACUGCAUUGUUUAUUUUCUAAUUAGCAACUUAAGAAAACUGAAUUUGCAUGUCCAGAUUUGUCUGGAAGAUUGCAGCCAUCACUCUUGGUUCAUCACAUCUUCCUACAGUUGUGCCCAUCAGUCUAGGUCUUCGCUCUUGUUUACUUUAGCAGUAUUUUUUAGUGUAGUUUAGCAGUUUUCCAGGGAUUUCCUUUCAAUUUACCAAUAAUAGACUUUCCAAAAUACCAACAUCAUGACACAGAUUUAUAGACUUAUAUUUGUUUGUUAUUUGGGCGUAUAAUAGAUCAUUUCUGGAUGUCUGGAAAUGGAAACACUGAUUGACUAUUGCAAGUUUUUGACAGAUUGUUCAAUGCACUGGUAUACAGUUUCUAUUAUCUAUGUAGAUAGAUAUGUCAAUUGUCACUGAUGGGGGCUGAAAUGCGACACCAGUUUUUGUUGCUCCUCUUCUGUACCGUUUUUGCUGUAACACUAAAGCUUGCUGAUGCAUCGUUGUCCACUACUACUUCGAUUACAAACUUACUACAAAUGGACUCUUCUCAUAUGAACAUCCAAGCCCCCACUUACAGACUCUGCAUUUUAUGUAUAUUUUCUGUGAAAGGGUCAGACUAAUCUAAUCUGAACGACGAAAACUGGUCAUCAGACUUCUGUGUGACAGCAGGCAGCAGAGAUGUGGUCUCUGGCUGAAAAAUACCUGUUGCAGCUCCAGAGGGAUGUUCAAGCUGCCCAUCCCCGUCUUACAAGUGGCUCUCUUAUAAGUGAUUACAAUUGUUGGAGAAGGAGGAGUAAAACAAGGGCCUUGUCAACACAGGCCCUCCAGAUUUGAGGUCAAUUUCGCCCCCUGAUUGCACGUGUGUGUGUGUGUUAGUUUGUCUGUGUAUGUGUGUGUGUCUGUCUGUCUGUGUCUGUGGGGGAGGGAGAGACUGAGAGUUUACUGCUGCCUCAUUGAAGCCAUCAUCAUCACCUGACGAGCAGAGGUUGAAGCCUGAGUUGCUUCUCUGUCUAUCAUUUUUAUCCUUUUGUUUUUUCCUCCACCUCCGUCUUCUUUAUUCCUCCCUAGCCUCCCCCUUCUCCCCCUCAUCCCUAUCUCUGCUCCUCUUCCACCCUUGGCCCUGGCCCUCUGCCUGCUCUUUCGCUCACCCCCCAUGUUCGCAAAUCACUUCUUCCCGUGUCAGCAGGUAAAUUGUUUUGUCCUCCCAUUCCCUGCUUUCAUUACCUUGUGUAAAUUAAGCGAUAUGUCGUCCACCGGUGCGCGCCAGAGCACUCACUGCGCCAACGCCAAAAUCAUGAGAUUUGGCAUAAUAAAUGAAGAUAAACUGGCAGUAGCAGUGCUCCUCUCCGCGCGGGCUCGCCUUCAUUAUUUGCUUAACUUGCCGGAGAAAAUGACUUAACCCUGACCUGUGUAUUUCGUCCCAUAUUCACUCCAGAUAAAAGCCUUUUUACAGCGCACAACAAUUUAUAUUCCGGCAAAGAGGCUGCUUUUCUCUGUCAGUUUUCCAAUCUCAGCUCCUGAACACACGUCAUUAAACUUGUCUUGCCUUCCUGUAUUUGUCCAUCAGUCCUUCUUUUUACAUAAAAUCUGGCAGCAUUAUUCUGGGAUUUGAUGGCACCCACUCAUUUUUUCCCCUUGGAAUGUUUGAUUGGAAGAAAUAUAGCCGAGCUGGGGCUAUCUCCUCUCCUCUGUGGAAUCAUGCACUUGAUGAAAUAGUGUUCCCCCAGCAAGAAUAAUAAAAACAGACUUGUGCAUUACAGGGGGCUCUCAAUCUGCCAGCUAGGCUGAGCUGAGCAAAAAAAAAAAAAAAAAACCCACCCUGCUCCUGACAGAUUUUUAUAGUUAUCCAAGUAGAUAAAUGGAAACGGGUGACCAGACUGUGGAAGGCCACGCUUGAGCCGAGUGUGGGCUGCAGGGCUGGACAGUAACAGUGUGGGAUGAACAUUAAAUGGUCGAACACAGGAACAAGUGAACUCGAACUACCAGAGAUGUCCUGGAUAUAAGAGAAAAAUCUCAGAGAAAUGUUUGCUUAUUCAGAAAAAAAAGGCAAAUAUGACGAGUCAAAACAUACUAGUUAGUUUUUUCACAGUUUGUCCACAUGAGAGGAGGGUCUGUGUCACGAUUUGGUUAAGCUCUACUAAAAAUGAAUUAAACAGGGUGAAAAGGAUGACCGCAGAUGUCUCCUGCUUUAAAGGUGUUCUCUCUUCAAGUUGGAAAUGAACUGAUGGAUGGAUAAAUACUUUAUUGAUCCUGGAGGAAAUUCUAGCUUUAGCUUUCCAUUCACACAUGGGCACAUUGAACAUUGGUUGAGUUAGAAAGCAAAAAAAUCUUCCAAAUAUAAAUCCAGAGGACUAAAAGUGGAGUAAAACAUCAUAUAUUAAAACAAUUCUUAGAUAAAUAUAUAUACGCAUUAUUGGCACUCCACCACUUACAAGUGGCUCAACCUCAGAGUUCUGAUCCAAGCCUGGUGCUGAGCUGACACACACACGCCUGAUUAGUUUGUUCAGCCUCAGUUUGUCCACUUUGUUGAUGCCUCCUCUGCAUACCAUGGCACAAAACAGAGCACUGGCUAUUUCAUACUGCCACUGCCAUAAAUUUUUUUUUUUUUAAGCUCAAUAUGAUACAUUUUUUUAAAGUUGUUAAAGGGCUGCAAUUGCACUUAACUUUUGACAAUUGCACUUUUUAUAGUAAGAUAAUACUCUGAUUUUGUGCAUUUAGGAAUUAGAUUGCCUUUUUAAUUUUCUGAACUUGUCAGUCUCUCAAAUCAGAACUGAAAAAUAUUGAGACAAAUACUCGUAACUUCUUAAAACCGAGCCUUGUUUACAUUUUGUUUGUUUCUGAUUUGAGACUUGGAAAGUGCUGGGCUGAAACAAGGGUUGAAAAGUUCCACGGUGGAUUGUGCUUGAAGCUCGGGAAGAUAAUCAGCCAUAAACGGUGCUCGAUUCCACCUAACAGACCCUGAUUGAUCAAGUGAGCAUGCUAAUCAAUCUGGCUCUAGUGCGGAAGAGCUCUGUGUGUUCUUCGUCGUCCUCUUCUUUUUCUGUUCAGCAGCAGGUAGAGCAGCACAGUUGUGAGGAAAACACAAAAUAAACAUGGGGAUGAUUUGUAAAUGGUAGAGUGUCAAUAAUGUGUCUUUGUAUAAGAAGUUAUUUAACAUAUCUCUGCAUUACAGUGUAUUUGGUUGAUGUCAUUAAUGUUAAGCUGUUUAUUGCAAGAACUUGAUAUUUUAGUUGAAGUCACCUCAAGGUUUCUUAGUAACAAUACAAUCCAGUAGAAAUGACAGUAUGAGUCAAAAGUAUUACUGUAUCAUUAAGUUAACCAAAAACAAAAACAUAGAAGAUCAUGUCAUAUGCCUACAAAGAAUGAAUUAGAUAAAGAACAAAUUUCCUUUUGGGGACGAAUAAAGUUUUUGUAUUGUAUUGUAGAGUUAGGUUACACCUCCUCUAUUUUAUACCAACCUUUUCUAUGUUCUGCAACCUUCAUUAUUUACAGAAAAAAAAGAACUGAAAUUUAUAACAACGGUUGAACUUUUGUUGCUCUGUGUCUAAGUUUUUCUUUCCUCCGCUUUAGGGUUUCUGGUCAUUCCUGUUACUGCAGCUGCCGGUUUUGGGAGCCUGAACAGAACCACCAAUUUGUGUGGCUUACUCUCAAAUGGAAUGAAACAGACAUUAACACUGCUGCUUCCCCUUCUUUCACACAUUAAAAUCUUACUGGCCUGUACAUCACAAACGUCAACAGCUGGUUUAAAUUAAUAUUGUGUUGCCACCUCUGGUAAGAUAUGUCACACUAAUUUACUCUUGUUUAAUUUCUCCUUAUGUAUUCUUUGUAACUGAAAAGUCAAAACACUGACUUUUCAGUCAAAUAGAAAUUUAAAACCGUAUAGGCAGCCAAUAUUCAUUUAAUGCAAGGUAUUUCCUUCAUCCAUAAAGAUGACAAAACCCAUAUAUGACAUACUGUCAUCUUACACUAUGAUUGUUAUAGAUCAAAAUACUUAGACAUAUCAAGUCAUUCUUUUAUAUCCCUUCUGUAUCUUUUGUAUCAUAAAAUUAUAACUGUAUUUAAAUGCAAAUUUACAAUCAAAAUGUAGAAUAUACUUUCAUCAGAAACAGCCAAAUAUUAAAAAACCAGACACUCUGUAGCGACUCUUCUCCCAGUAUAUUAAAUUAAAUGCUGAAUUUUCUUCAGAUCAGUCUCUAAAAACUCAAGGCAAGACCACUGGGAUUGUACAGAGCUCAAGAAGUUGGUGUUUGCAGCUUUGCUCUGUCUGUGCAGGGACUCCUGUGCUCUGCAAAGACAGAGAAAAGAAUGACACAAACACAGGGUGAAAAAAAAACUCAGGAAUUCAACUCAUUUUUUACUGUAUGAAAGUUUUACAAGGUCGUUGGGAGAGUCGUGUUAACACAACACCUGAAUACCGAUUUGUUACCUUGUUCUACAAGUCACGGAGCAGCAAGUCUUUAAGCGAUCAUUAUUACCAUACAAAUAGACAGAUCUAUUUAACAACCCUCUUUUUAUCGCAUAACACUUAUUCUUUAGUGUUGUUCCCUGAAAGGCACUGAAUCCCCCCUCCCCUCCCCCUUUUUCUUUUUCUUUUUUUUUUUUUUUUUUGCAGGGAAAUCGUCUCCGGGUUGAUAAAGGCUCAGAGCAAUAGAAGAAGCAAGGCUGACAUCUUCUUAAGAGAUGAUAGGAGAGCCAAAUCAAAUAGGAUGGAGCAGUCACUCUUUUCACAGAUAGGUAGCUCAUUUCUGGUGGCUGAGAGUUUGCAUCCCUAGUGGCGCUCUGCCUGGGAAAGAUAGCUCACUUGGACUCCAUUCAUUAUUUCAUUCCCUGCCUCUUCUUUUCACAUCUUAGCUACUUCUUUCCCCCCUUCUUUUGCUUUAAUGAGUUGCCUAUUUUUCUCAAGUGUUGAUGGUAAUCUUGGAAUUUAGAUUUGUGAGACAAAAUGCUUAAUCACAAGUGUUUUUCAUCAGUGGCGAAGAGGCAAAAAUCAAUUAUUUCUAUUAGACAAUGCUGAUUGGGAAUGAAUGGAAGUGGUAGCAUUUUGAAACAAAGACUCCAUGGUGGCAAAGAUAAGUGUCAGUCUGGCCCCCCUGAGGUAUGACAUGUGGUCUGGCUUAUUAAGCAGUUUGCAAACAUUUGCCAUUAAAUCCAAGCAAAGGGUUUGCCAUGCCAAUACAAACAGUGAGGGAUAAUAUAUGAUAACAGUAUUCAAAAGUCAGGAAUUGUCAGAAUAAGGGUAAACAUUUUGACACUGUAAGGACGCCAGUGACAGGCUCAAAGGUUGUCAAACUCUUACGGGUUUAUUUUUCCUGAUUAAGGUGUAUGUAUACUCAUCUGAAUACCCUUAAUAUUCAUUCAAAUUUGAAUAUCUUUGGUUGCCGAAGAUUUCUCUGUGUUAUAACUUCUUGGUGAGAGGUGAGUCAAGAACUUUUCCCACCAACUGUUUACAGCCAAACUUAAGCAAUCAAGCACAAGCUCCAUAUGAUAUUCAGCCUGGCACUUCCUAAAGAGCUAUCACACAGCGUCACAUUCUUCACAAAUCCCUUUGCAAAUUAUUUAUAAAAAUUAACUCCUCUUGCAAAGGGCUCAUUGAAAAGAAGAAUUACAUGAAAGAUAAAACACUUUAUCGCCAGUGAAAGACUAGACAAUGUACAUCCAGAAAUUGGGAAGAUGGCAGAAACAAUGAAUAUUAAGUGCCUAAGAAUCUAAAGCUGCUGACUAAAUUGAAACUGUAUAUCCUGAGGGGGCAAGGUUUCCAAAUUGCUAAUUACUGCCUCUGAAAGAGGGCUGUUUCAGAUAUGUUUGCUUGUGAAAGACUGCUGCUUAAUGAAACAGUGGCUCAAUUUUUUUUGUAAUAUUCCCUCUCUCUGGCUUUCAGGGCUCUCUCUGGACUUUCCUCCCAGGCCAGAACAAUUGCAGGCCCUGGAGCCCAGCUUCCCCACAGGCCCUAGUGUGAGAAGGCCGGGGGCUGGGUACUGAGGGAGCCGCUCAGCGUGCUGAAAUAUGGAGGAGACAGAUAAGGUGGCAGAGGCACAGAGAGGCCCUCUCCCAGGGGCCCAAGGGGAAAUUUGCAGUUAUUAAGAGGAAGAUGAGAGAGAUUAAAUGGCUUUUGUACUCAUUUUCACUGACUUUUAUUUUUUUAUUAUUUUGGUUGCCUUCAACUGAGAGAUGAAAGAAGUGGUAAAUGACUUUUUGCUUCAUUCAACAAUAUAAUGGCCAUGAGAGACAAUUGUUCAUUACUGAUAGUGGUUAGAUUUAAAAGACUUAUUAAUACAGUAUUGUUUCAAGAGGUUUAAAGGUAAUAGGAUUCAAGUAACUCAC